UUCUGUUGCAAUUAUCUUGCAAAUCACCUUUAAAUUACGCUCCAGUGUCGAUGUUUACCUGAAAAUAAUAUGUUUCGUCGUCCUUGUUAGGCCUAGUAACGACAGCGAUCACAGGCAAAUAGCGAGAAAAACGCUACAAACGGCCAAAAUUUUUAAUUUUAUGACAUACUUUUAUUCAUAUACACACCUUUGCCCGUUCUCUGUUCAGUCUUGUUAUGUUUCAUAGUUGAAAUACGUAUAAUACCGGCAGUCUGUUCCAACUAGCGGUUCUGCCGGCCAAUCAGUUCUGCUUCUGCUACUUCUGCCUUCUGCUAUUCUGCGUCUUCCCGGCGUGCCCCUCACCAUCCAGAUGGCGCCGUUAAAAGUGGACGCAAAAUCCAUUAUGUUGCUAGGUCGUCAGGGAAUAGCCUAUUCAAUCUAAUCCAAUCCAGUUUCCCGAAAAUGUCGGCACCCAGUUAAUACAGGUAAUAUAUAGCUUGGAUAGCCUGGGGUUAAUAGCGAACUGUAUUUUGGCUCGUGAUUGGCCAGAGAGCUCAAAAAGUGGGUGGAGCUCCAGGUAUAGGCAUGUUCCAUUAAUGGCCAGACUCCCUUUGGCAUACACGGCUCUGGUUUAUCGAGGACGCUAUAAGUUCGAGACCGCGUGGAAACGCACAUGCCAGGCCUCUUUCCCUUCAUAUUUCGAAGUUCACCAAGUGAAGUCACGUGCGGCUUGCGUCAUUUCGGUUAUACUAUUGUUCGAUAUUUCCUGGGACACAAAUUCACGUAUCUGUAUGCCCAAUAUGGGGAUAAGUCGACUUAUCCCCCUUUUACUCAUUUGGCUGCAGAGACAUACAGAGUGUUUGCUCUAACGUGUCCAGAAAUUAUAUUUAAAGCGAGCGAUAAAAGAAAAGCAAGUUGUACUUUUCUGCUUCUUGAGUAAGAAACAGGUACUGCUUCACUAGUAGCACCUGUUUCUUUGUCAAGUAGCUGAAAAGUAGCGCUCAUUUCUCUUUUAUCGCCGUCCACCUUCCUCAUGAAUAGCCUGAAGUCGGCGUUGGCCUUGUAUGUUGACACCAACCCCAGGCCCUGUAUCUUGCGGUAAGUGCUCUGUCACCAGUGGAAAAAAUAACACCUCGUCUUCAUGUCUUUGUGAAGGACACACCCCACGGCAUUGAUGGCUGCAGGAUCAAAGUUCAUCGUGACUUCUUCCAGGUCUGGGGUAACACCCAAACGUUCGCAUGCGUUCACUGUCGCCCUCAGGAACUCUUCGUAGGUUUUCCUUGUCUUGCUCACCAUGAGGGCGAAGACUGCUGGAACUACACUCUGCCCCAAAGGUACAAGUACGAAGUAGAGUUGCCGAAACCAAUUAGGCACCAGGUCAAAGUUCCCAUCCAUGAACCACAGGUCGUUCCAUGCUAAAAUCCUCAGGCACACAGGAGAACCAAAAAUUAGCAGCCUCUCGUUGCCACUGCCUGCUCUGUUGUCAUAGAAUAGGAAGUGCUCUAGUUGAAGUCCCUCAUUUGUGGACCAUGGCUCUUCGACGAUAAGGUCUGAAAGGCUGGCCGGCACAGGAGGGUAAUGUGAUGAUCACCGCAUUCGAAUGCUUCGCCUGAUGCUUUGUUCACUCUUUAGCAUGCCCUUCUUUUCUCUUGUAAGUUAUAACGUGCACUGAGAAAUCAUGGCUGCAGGCGGCGCCACUGUACAAUGAGAUAGUUCCUUGAUCUUCGUCCGGACCUUCCUUAUUGAUUUUGCAGACGUCUGGGGUAUGAUUGUGAGGGGUCAAGACCAUUACUCCACCAGCAGACGUUAUUGCUGCCCCUUUGCAAGCUCCCGUCCUGUGGACACUGCCAACGGGUACCAGUCUUCAGGAGCUUCUGCUUCGUGUACUGAUAUCCUUUGAACGCCAAGCAUUCGCUGCCCUUUGCUGUUUUCAGAAUUUUCAUUUUGCUGAUCUGAAAUAUAUGUAGGAAGGUAUUUCCAUGUGGGCUUAGGCUUUCCACAGUGUGUUAAGAAAAAGUCUGGAUCGGAUCCCAAUACUGACAAUACAAUGACUCAAAUAAUUAGGGUAGCUAAAAGCAUAGAAGGUACAACUUACCUAAGGGUGCUCCAAGGGACGUGGUGGUUGCUGCCACGUUACCACGGUCCAGAGGAAAGUACCAGUGUGCCCUGCUGAGCGUUUCUUUUCCUUUCUACAAUUAAACCAUGGUCCGUGUGGCCAAGGUGAAUGCACUUCACUUCUUGUUACCCCGCGCUCUGGGCAAAUCCCUUCAGAGUAGGAUGCCUUUUAUCCCUGCCUUGUAUCCACAGAUCUUACCAGUAAUUGUGCCUUCCUAAGCUUUUCUCUUAUGUUCCACAGACAAACCUAUGGCCCCUGUGAACAAGGUAGAUGACCUGAGUGAGUUCUUUGACCACUUUCACGGGGAACGUUCGCUGAAACAGUAAAGCUGGCAUGGGUUUUCCCCAUGACACAAUUUUCUGUGCCACGGUUCUACGACUAAAUGUGAGUCGUCUACUCUUCGUUUGUUAUCUUGUAAACCGUCAUCUGACCUCUGUGGCCAAGGGAAGUGAGCUUCGUCCACAGGCCUUCGCGUAUUGUAGAACACUUUCUCAUGGUUUAAAUGCUUAUCACCAUCCUCAGGUUCCUCCUGUAUGUCGCCUUUUUUUUUUUUUUUCUUUUCAGUCUCUCUUGGUAUUAUUAUCCCUUCUCUUUUUCGAAGGGGCGCAAAUAAAUUGCGUGGAGCGAAGCUGUCCCAGCAUAUCGCAGUAUAGGGUACCUCCUGUUUGUAGUCUUCUUUCCUCCUCCUUUUUUUGUGUGUGGGUGCCUUUUUAUCACUUGCAGUGAUGGAACUGCUGCGCCAUUUGCGCCAAAGUGCGCCAUUUGGGAUUGCCUGCGCAACCCCGCGCCGAAAAAGCAAUUUUCCCUAAUUCUGCGCCACAGCUGCGCCGAACAAAGAUGGCCUGGUUCGAACGCAUGAACACGAAACAAAAACCGCGAGCGAUGCUCCCGCGCCCUCUCUAUUCUCGUCAUGCCUCUGAACAACGAAGCCGAGUCACGCCAAGUCACAGGCCCCAAGAAAAAACGCAACAAUAAGUGCGAAGUAUACUCGCUCCGAAUACUGUGUCGUCUAUCCUUGUACAAAGGAAUGUACAGGACUACCGAUAUUCCCCCAGUAGCUCACUAUACAGGGUGUUCAAAAUUAAGCUUUCACUAUCACUUUAUAAAUAGGCGAACAAAAGAAAACUGGUGCUACUUUUUCUGUUCCUUGAGUAAGAAACAGGUGCUACAUAAUUAGCAGCACCUGUUUCUUACACAAGUAGCGUAAAGUUAUCAUCCGGUUUCCUGUCAUCGCUGUGUUUGCGUAGCGCUCGUGAAACUUCGCUGUUUGUUCGUUCCUCUUUUCCCCGUUCUCCGCAGUGUGUCGCCACCCCUAACGUGGAAUCGUGCAAUAUGUUUUCUAUGUUAACUUAAUACAAGAAUCGUACGUUGUUGUACUUCAAAGAGAAGUUGUCAACAAUAAAGCGCACUGUUAGUGCAUCAAGUGUGUGCGUACUGGACGAAAGGUGGUGGUGGUGGUGCAAAUUUACCGAGCAUUGGACACGUCACGUGCCUGCGAUAGAAUGUUGGCUCGUUUGCAUGGGAGUUGUUUUUAAACAACUGCGUUUUAACUAAUUGUGGAUAGGCAUAACUGACGAUGCUGAUUCCGGAGUUGCCGGCGCCUGUACUAUGGAUCACUCCAGGCUUUCCGCUACUGCGUAACAUCGCGCGUGCUCGCAGGGUGUAGGCGCGUAAGGACAGCGCGAGCAAUUGAGCAUUCAGGACUUGAACCGUACAUGCCGAUACUUGUUCCCAGAUGUCCUGAACCCCAAUAUUCACUAGAAAGUGGAGAGUAUGUAUUGCAAACACGAUGUAUUGCGCGGGACGCAGUGGAAUACAUACGGCGGAGGUGCGCCAUUCUGUGAAAUUCUGCGCCAAAUGCGUUUUUUUUUUUGCGCCAGAGCCAGCGCCCGCGGGCUUGGAGGUAGUUCCAUAACUGCACUUGCUUCACAACCUCGCACCCACUCUAGUGAUUGUUACGAGGAACAUUUUCUCUGGGAACAUUUCUUCCGGGGCAUUUUUUAUGUUUCCUGCAGACAGGAACUUCAACUUCCACUCAAGGUACAUGAUCUCCCUCUACCUCACGUGACCGUGUCAGCGGUGCUAUUGAGUGUUGUAAUCGGAAAAACGUGUGUACCAAUCUAAUAAGUCCUAUUAUACUGUCCACCUAGAACAUUAUUUUCAUGGUUGUGCUCCUUUACCAACACAAUCAGAUCGAUCCUAGCUGCUCCAUUGCACUAAGAUGACUUUGCUCCGCCUGGCAUCACCAUCAAUGUCUGACUAGUGAAAUCUGCUUUUUCUGCAUGAAAACCCUGUACCCUUACUUCAUCUCGGGAAGCCCUGUAUAUGGAAACUUGCGCCAACAUACCCUCGUCAUCGAUAGCACUUUAUUUAGCGAAGGAACAUGUUCUAUGGUUGUUCAAGGUACAGUGGCAGGAUGAAGGCCCAUGGGUAUGGGUGUGGGUAUCUUAAGCACAGCAGUUGCUGUUGAAAGGUAGGUAAAUUUCCGUGUCUGCCUCCAUGUUUUGUAUGUAUACAAUGUGUAACUCGGUGUCCAAGACAGUUGUAACAAAGCAGCUCAUAACCUGAAUGAUACGUGUAUCACGCAUCACAGGGACGUAUUGUUUGUGUGGGGAACCAUU
This is a long non-coding RNA of Ornithodoros turicata, 4716 nucleotides long. RefSeq lists it as uncharacterized. The transcript is spliced from 3 exons. The record is from RefSeq and is a predicted model, not a curated record. NCBI's taxonomy places the organism in Eukaryota, Metazoa, Arthropoda, Arachnida, Ixodida, Argasidae.